Cebus imitator (Panamanian white-faced capuchin) is the source of this 1455-nucleotide long non-coding RNA. RefSeq lists it as uncharacterized. The transcript is spliced from 3 exons. The record is from RefSeq and is a predicted model, not a curated record. NCBI's taxonomy places the organism in Eukaryota, Metazoa, Chordata, Mammalia, Primates, Cebidae.
GAGGGUCCCUAGGGCCUCCCUGAAAGUGAGAAAAAGAAAAGGAAGCCGGCUGGUCCUAGCCUGGGGCCAGUGCUAUGGCGUCCACUGUCCUGGGGAAGGUGCCAGGCUGAAGCCCAGGAAUGUGGGUGAUCGGGUGCCCACACCCUGGGAGGAGAGGUUGAGCAGCCCACGCCCACGGAGAGCAGGGAGGAGGACCAUGAAGAAGGAUAAGGGAUGCUGAGCCCCCUCCUGUGGCCCCAGUGGGCCCCAAACUCCUGCCACACUGGACCUCCCCUCACCGGCCUUCCUGGGCAGAGUAUGGGAUGGUGAGAGGACUGGUCUGUCCCCAGACCGGAAGGGAGUAGCUGGAAUCACAGAAGCUGGCUCAGGAAGAACAGCCCUGACCCCCGAGACCCUGACCAGGGGAGGGAAGGACACUGGUGGCGACAAGCAAUGGUGACGCCGCUGCUGUGGCUAAUGGGACAGAGAAUGGGGCGGCACGGCUGGGGGCCGGCGGGGUCCCCGCCCGGUCUCUCUGGGCGGCCAUGCGGACCCGUCCUCCUGUCCAGUCAGCCGGCGGCCGCCCGGGCCUGGCACCUCUCUGCGCCUCCGCGGAACAAACAGCACAUGAUUCCGGCUCUCGAGCCUAGAUAGCGCCGCCGGGGAACGCAACCCGGACCCCGGCUCCCCGCCCCCCAAGCCGGCACAUUCCUCCGCGGGCGUCCCUUCCCUCCCCCUUCCCCAGCCCUCACCUCGGCGAGACGGGGCUCCCGGAGCAGCUCGGCGGAGUGAGAGGGGCAAGCUUUCCGGGAAGCCUGAGGCGGCAGCGGGGACGAUCCGGGGCCGGUUCGGAGCUGCCCCCGCCCCUCGCCGGGUCCCCGGGCGGCGGGCGGCGGACUAGCGCCCCGGGGUCGGCAGCAGUAGCGGCGCCAGCGGCCGGCGCCCGCCCGGGCAGCGCUAGCUGGGGCGGGAGCGAGGGGCGGGGGACGCGCGGGCGGGCGCGCGCGGAGGGGCGGCCGCGCGCCGUCACAGGAAGGUGCCGGGAGCGACUCGGGCUUCUCUUGUUAAAGGGGCAACGCUCCCGGCCUAUGGGGCCCAGCGAGCGGGGACGCGGGAACUGAGCUCCGGACGCGGAAGGCGGGGCAGACGCCGCGCUACAGAAGGGUUGCGAACGCCUAAAGAGCAGGCAAAGGUCGGGGGCUGACCCACGGGGGGACGCAGGCCCGGGCCCCGCGCACGUCACCGCCGUCGGAGGCGCGCCCAGGGGGCGGAGCCUCCUGCCGAGCCCCGCCCAGAAGGCGGCUCCGCUCAUGUUCCACCCUCAGGAGCGCGCCGCCUGCCAGCUCCUCCCGCUGCUCGAAUCGCAGUCUCUCUUCUCCCCGCCUCGCCGAGUUCUAGAAUUCGCCGCGCAGCUGCUUCAGGAUAAAUCCGAGUCACCUCUGCAGUUCCAACCAGCUGUUUCUGUCCUAGCCUACA